Molecule: long non-coding RNA, 385 nt
Organism: Mastomys coucha (southern multimammate mouse)
Lineage: Eukaryota; Metazoa; Chordata; Mammalia; Rodentia; Muridae
Exons: 2
Source: RefSeq, a predicted model, not a curated record
CUUAGGAAAACAUUCCUGCCAGCCACUGAAGGAGGGCUGCUGGUUCAGGCUCGGCAGGGGCUCUGGCAAGAAUGGAAGGCUGGACUCAAGGUGAUGGAGGGCGCGUCUGCACCCAUGACUUCAUGCUGGUAGGACAGCCAGACUGAUCUGCAGUAAUGGCAAGCAGAACCCAGGGCAAAGAAAUGGACAUCAAAUUCAUGAGCUCUAACAAAAAGAUGGGAUUUCCAAAGAGUUAAGGAAUGCAUAUGGGAACAAAUCAUGACAUAAGAGGCAGCAGAGAAGCAUGACACCCAACUCUCUUCUCAAUAGAUGAUCCAGCAAAAGAGGCUAUGAGAUGUAACCAGCCUGCUAUCUGUUUUUGUCAAUAAAGUUUUAUUGAAACAGA